This 405-nucleotide ribosomal RNA is filed under the name uncultured bacterium. RNAcentral describes it as "bacterial SSU rRNA". It matches the Rfam family "Bacterial small subunit ribosomal RNA", at positions 354 to 776 of the family's 1533-position model. The record is from RNAcentral.
GUGGGGAAUAUUGGACAAUGGGCGCAAGCCUGAUCCAGCCAUGCCGCGUGAGUGAAGAAGGCCUUAGGGUUGUAAAGCUCUUUCAGUGGGGAAGAUAAUGACGGUACCCACAGAAGAAGCCCCGGCUAACUCCGUGCCAGCAGCCGCGGUAAUACGGAGGGGGCUAGCGUUGUUCGGAAUUACUGGGCGUAAAGCGCGCGUAGGCGGUUGUUCAAGUUGGGCGUGAAAGCCCGGGGCUUAACCCCGGAAAUGCGUUCAAAACUGGACAGCUAGAGUCCGGAAGAGGAGAGUGGAAUUCCCAGUGUAGAGGUGAAAUUCGUAGAUAUUGGGAAGAACACCAGUGGCGAAGGCGGCUCUCUGGUCCGGUACUGACGCUAAGGUGCGAAAGCGUGGGGAGCAAACAGG